GAUCAUGGCUCAGGAUGAACGCUAGCUACAGGCUUAACACAUGCAAGUCGAGGGGCAGCAUAAUGGAUAGCAAUAUCUAUGGUGGCGACCGGCGCACGGGUGCGUAACGCGUAUGCAACCUACCUUUAACAGGGGGAUAACACUGAGAAAUUGGUACUAAUACCCCAUAAUAUCAUAGAAGGCAUCUUUUAUGGUUGAAAAUUCCGAUGGUUAGAGAUGGGCAUGCGUUGUA
RNAcentral lists this ribosomal RNA (232 nucleotides) under uncultured bacterium. RNAcentral describes it as "partial 16S ribosomal RNA". It matches the Rfam family "Bacterial small subunit ribosomal RNA", at positions 15 to 240 of the family's 1533-position model. The record is from RNAcentral.